Molecule: ribosomal RNA, 940 nt
Filed under: Bacillus subtilis
Lineage: Bacteria; Bacillati; Bacillota; Bacilli; Caryophanales; Bacillaceae
Description: bacterial SSU rRNA
Rfam family: Bacterial small subunit ribosomal RNA
Source: RNAcentral
CGUGCGGUCUCUCUAAGUGUGAUGGGAAAACCCCACGUCUCUACCGGGGAGGUGUCAUUGGAAACUGGGGAACUUGGAGUGCAGAAGAAGGAGAGUGGAAUUUCCACGUGUAGCGGUGAAAUGCGUAGAGAUGUGGAGGAACACCAGUGGCGAAGGCGACUCUCUGGUCUGUAACUGACGCUGAGGAGCGAAAGCGUGGGGAGCGAACAGGAUUAGAUACCCUGGUAGUUCACGCCGUAAACGAUGAGUGCUAAGUGUUAGGGGGUUUUCGCCCCUUAGUGCUGCAGCUAACGCAUUAAGCACUCCGCCUGGGGAGUACGGUCGCAAGACUGAAACUCAAAGGAAUUGACGGGGGCCCGCACAAGCGGUGGAGCAUGUGGUUUAAUUUGAAGCAACGCGAAGAACCUUACCAGGUCUUGACAUCCUUUGACACCCCUAGAGAUAGGGCUUCCCCUUCGGGGGCAGAGUGACAGGUGGUGCAUGGUUGUCGUCAGCUCGUGUCGUGAGAUGUUGGGUUAAGUCCCGCAACGAGCGCAACCCUUGAUUUUAGUUGCCAGCAUUCAGUUGGGCACUUUAAGGUGACUGCCGGUGACAAACCGGAGGAAGGUGGGGAUGACGUCAAAUCAUCAUGCCCCUUAUGACCUGGGCUACACACGUGCUACAAUGGACAGAACAAAGGGCAGCGAGACCGCGAGGUUAAGCCAAUCCCACAAAUCUGUUUUCAGUUUGGAUCGCAGUUUGCAACUUGACUGCGUGAAGCUGGAAUCGCUAGUAAUCGCGGAUCAGCAUGCCGCGGUGAAUACGUUCCCGGGCCUUGUACACACCGCCCGUCACACCCCGAGAGUUUGUAACACCCGAAGUCGGUGAGGUAACCUUUAUGGAGCCAGCCGCCGAAGGUGGGACAGAUGAUUGGGGUGAAGUCGUAACAAGGUAGCCGUAU